RNAcentral lists this unclassified non-coding RNA (1735 nucleotides) under Philautus aurifasciatus (Java bubble-nest frog). RNAcentral's name for it is "partial contains 12S ribosomal RNA, tRNA-Val, and 16S ribosomal RNA". The stretch from base 1 to 498 matches the Rfam family "Bacterial small subunit ribosomal RNA", at positions 794 to 1533 of the family's 1533-position model. The record is from RNAcentral. Lineage: Eukaryota; Metazoa; Chordata; Amphibia; Anura; Rhacophoridae.
GCCAAGCCGUAAAAUCAACUCACACUACUAACGCCAGGGGAUUACGAGCUCUAGCUUAAAACCCAAAGGACUUGACGGUGUCCCAUCCUACUAGAGGAGCCUGUUCUAUAAUCGAUGAUCCACGCUAUACCUAACCAUUUUUUGCCUUUCAGCCUGUAUACCUCCGUCGCAAGCCUACCAUAUGAAUGAAUUAUAGUAGGCUCAAUAGCCUAAACGCUACAACGUCAGGUCAAGGUGCAGCUUAUAAAAUGGAUGAAAUGAGCUACAAUUUCUAAUCUAGAACAAACGAAUUACUAUAUGAAACACAGUCAUAAAGGCGGAUUUAGCAGUAAAUGCGGAAUAGAGAGCCCCAUUAAAUCUGGCCCUGGGACGUGUACAAACCGCCCGUCACCCUCUUCAAUAGCCCUACCCUAGUUUUAUAACCUAAUCUAGCAUCUUAGAGGAGGCAAGUCGUAACAUGGUAAGUGUACUGGAAAGUGUACUUGGUUAACAAAAUGUAGCUUACUAAAGCCCCUGCUUACACCAGGAAGAUAUCUAUUUAACCAGAUCAUUUUGAGCCUAAAACCAAGCCCAUAGUUUUUCUCAUGUACCACUACCCCCUUUUUCAUAAAAUAAAUCAUUUUAACUAUAUAGUAGAGGUGAUCAAAAUAAUAAUAAGCGCUAAAACAAAGUACCGUAAGGGAAUAAUGAAAUAAAUGAAAAAUCUAAAGCUAAAAAUAGCAGAGAUUAAAACCCGUACCUUUUGCAUCAUGGUCUAGCUAGUCUAAUCAAGCAAAAUGAAAUUUUAGUUUGCCCUCCCGAAACUAGGCGAGCUACUUCAAAACAGCCUUAGAGCUAACCCGUCUCUGUAGCAAUAGAGUGGGAAGAUUUUCAAGUAGAAGUGAUAAACCAAUCGAGCCUAGAGAUAGCUGGUUAUUCAAUAAAAGAAUUUUAGUUCUGCCUUAAAUUUAUUAAUGAUGUAAUCAAUCAUAAAGAUUUAAGAGUUAUUCAAAUAAGGCACAGCUUAUUUGAAGAAGGAUACAACCUCAAUUACCGGGUAAACCAAGAAUCCUCAUUAAGUGGGCCUAAGAGCAGCCACCUUUAAAAAAGCGUUACAGCUUAAUCUCCAUAAUAAUAAAUUCAAUUAACAACUAUCAACCCGCUACCAUUACUGAAUGACUCUAUAAUAUAUAGAAAACAUCAUGCUAGAACUAGUAACAAGAAUAUAAUAUUCUCCAUAAUAUAAACUCAAACCGAAACGGAUUCCCCGCCGGUAAAUAACGAAAAUGAAUCCUCUGCAAUAACUUACUAGAAAAUCCUGCAUACAUUAUUCGUUAACCUAACACUAGAAUAUUUCUGGAAAGAUUAAAAGGGAAAGAAGGAACUCGGCAAAUCUUGACCCCGCCUGUUUAACAAAAACAUCGCCUCUUGAUAAAUAAUAAGAGGUCCAGCCUGCCCAGUGAUAAUAUUCAACGGCCACGGUAACCUAACCAUGCGAAGGUAGCAUAAUCACUUGUUCUUUAAAUAAGGACUUGUAUCAACGGCACCACGAGGGUUAUACUGUCUCCUCUCCCCAAUCAGUGAAACUGAUCUCCCUGUGAAAAAGCAGGGAUAAUACUAUAAGACGAGAAGACCCCAUGGAGCUUUAAACCUUAAGCAACUUUAUUCUGCACUUCAUUUUAUCUACUAAAUUACUGCCUACCGGUUUUAGGUUGGGGCGACCGCGGAGUAAAAAACAACCUCCAUAUCGAAAAAA